GGAUGCUCCACAUUUGUAGCUUCUUCUUCUUUUGCCAGAACUAAGAAUGCAGGAGACAAAAAUUGAAAUGCCAACCAUCUGAAAGGUAGCAACCUUAAAUCACAUUUAUAGUAAGAUAGUUGGCCUCCUGUUGUUAAAAGAAGGUUACUCUGAUCCAGCAAAGGCAGCUCAAACAAAGAAGCAGACUGCUAUAUUAAGAUCCCUCUUUUUGAUCAGGUCCUACGUGUAUGGGGGGGGGGGGACGGACUGAACGUGGGCAGUUUUCUUUUUUAGAUCCUGGCAUCUUGCACCAAGGAUUGUGUGUGGGGUUCCAGUUGCUGGGCUGCAACUUGUAGCUUGCGUUCCAAGCACCAGAUGGACAGCAUUGUGUGAAUCUAGUGCUGUCACACAUCUGCGUGAAGGCAGAUCACGAAGAGCUGUGGGGGGGCCAGUCAACAGUAGAUAAAAUAGACACUGAAAGAAUUAAAAACUGGGAACAGGCAAACUUAAUGCCAUCGUCUAGCAGAAUGUAAAGUGAAACUAAAGCUGUAGCUAGAAUGUAGCCUGCCGAGAACUAAAGAUCCCGAGUAACAUGAGUUUGGAAGCUGACUAGGGCAAAUCGUUUGCUUUUAGAAUCCAUACAAGUUGAUCCUUUGAUGCUCAAGAGAGGAGAGGCAACCCUAUUCAGGGUUGGGAGCUGAGCAAGUUAUCAAAGAGCAGUUCUGAUAUGAAAAACUUCUCCAUCUCCAGUCCUCUUCCUCCCUGCUCCACAUCUGAAGAGUUUUACUAAAAUACGGCUCCUUUCGGAAGGAGAGUAUAUGGGGAAAGCCUGCCUAUACUAGAUCUCAGUAUGAUUUUGAUGUAAGAUGGAGAAGGAGGUGCCAGAACAAGUUUCAGGAGCAUCUAGCAAUGAAAGCAAGGAAACACCUCCUCACUCACAGCUUGGGAGUUCUUUAGUAACAUUGUACAGUAGGGAAUUCCUAGCCUGCGGUGGCUCAGUGAUUCUUGGAAGCCCCAAUCUAUCAGAAAGAAGGAAGCACAGGACUAUAGAACAGGGAGAGAGAUACGAGUUUGUGGCAUGCUGCUUUUAAGUUCUGUGACUAAAGGGGAUCUAGCAAAGAAGAGAGCUAUCAUUCCUGGGUGAAGUGCUUGACAUUUUACCACUGCUCACACUAGUUCUUUUCCAGAAAUGGAAGUGUCAUAAAAAGUGUUACACCAGAAAUGGCUCUGCCACCUCUAUGGAGUGGGCAACCUUUUUCAUCUGAAGUGCCACAGUCCUUUCUGGACAAUCUAGGGGCCACAGCAGUGGAGGUUUUAACAUGUUCAUUGGUUCAGCAUUGUAAGUUAGGUGGUCACCUACAGAACGAAUUCUAUUUGAUUUGAUGUUUGUAUUCUUAUCCAGCAACAGUGUUGAGCUCAAAACAGCUCACAAUAAUCGCAGUAGCAUUAAAAAGCAACAGGCAUUGCAAUCAUUAUAAUAUCAAACAGAGUAGCAAACCAGAAUAACAAAUUCAUCAAAACAGUCAAUGCAAUUCAAUGGAGGCAUGGUAAUUCAAAAUAUUGGAAAGAGCUUCUGGGCCUUGUGCAAUAAAACAAUUCCAUCCAGGGGAACAGCUUGCCAAAACUACCAGGCAAGUUGCUAAAAGGCAAGAUGAUGAUAAAGAUAAAAAUGCAAACCUUAUUUGUUCAUAACUAUGUCAAAAUACUGUACAAAAUGUUGGACUUGGUGUAGAACAGAUCUGUUCUAUUCUACGCAUGUUCCUGAGAGGUGUAGCUUGGCAAUCGAAAGGGACUGGAGUAUUUCUGGUUUGCUUCAAGACAUGCACAAGAGGGAUAUGCCACGACUUCUGCCAAGAGGGCAGCUGUGCAUUUGUUACUUAUUUCAUUUGCAGAGCUGCCCCCUCCACUGAAGCGAAUUCGCAAGUCCUUGCAAGCAAGCAUCCUCCAUAUGUGCAUUGAAACUUCCCACACACACACUUGAAAUAGCACACUUGAUCAGGGUGUGUAACUUUCAGUAGCGGUGGAAAACUUUUAUCGUCCUCUAUUUAAAAAAACAGGAAAGGAAAGGAAAAGAUCAUUCUGGUAACUACUUGGGCACCUCCAGAUGAUGUUUACUGAAUAUUCUGAGCUCAGUGCAGGCCACCAUGGAUGCAGCACAUGAUCAGAGGUUUCUCUGGGGCAUAAGCCUCUUUUCCCCCUCCCCUGCAGCAUGUACAUUCAAGCAGUCCCAUGUGGCAGGCCUUUCUGUGGAAUUGGAGACUUGUGCUAUCUUUCCAUAUCCCUAUACAGCACCUUGUCUUUCUGAUUGGUCAAAGAAUGUGAGGGCCCUCCCCCGUAAUAGCAUAGCCCAUUCAAUUGCUUGUGUGUACAUACUGAAGGGGGAGAGAAAAUAGACUCCUGUGCUGUAGGAAUUCUUCUGUGUGCAGGUGCUGGGUCUAUGGUGGGCUGUAGUUUGAAACUACUUUCUUCCUUUGACAAUACAUCUUCAAUCUGAAACAGUUUGGGAGGAAAGAAAACCCAGAGGAGGAAAAAAAGAAAUAACUUUAAGAGCCAUUUUUGAAACUAUUCUUGUGGUUUUAAUGCACACUGUAUGGGUUUCUGUUUAUGUACAAGAUCUUAACUUAUAUGUAAUUAAAAAAACAAACUACGGGACAAAGGGGCUGUCUUGGCACUAAACAUGGUGCUUCUUGAUAUAAUAAGAAACAACAUUCUGUGAAAUAGUAUGUAUUCAUCAGUAUAUUUCAUUCCCAUAUGUGAGUUUAAAGAAAAGUGCUUCUAGCUGUGUGUAUUGUCCUAACAACAUUUUUCAACCGAGCUGGUGGUGAUGUCCCUACAAAAUGAGCGCAAAAAUGCAACUGCUGCUAGAUACGCUGCAUAAAUUAGCUGCACUUAAGCCAUGUUUUAGAAUAGUAUUUCUUAAGGCUGGGAAGCUGCUUAGGGAAGGAAAGUUCAUUCAGCCAAGGGAAGGUAUAAACUCCACUCUGAUUCCUCCCAGUGGGUGCCAGGAAACAAGCUAGUCAAAUGCCACCCUCUCCCAACCGACACAUUAUUAUUUCUAUCUAUUGGAACUAAAAGUAUGUAUAGACACUUCUGUGACUUCUGGGGACGGGUGCGACACGUUUUAUUAUGGCGAGUGUUUUUAAAACAAUUCUGCAUCACUGUUAUCUGGGGCCCUUAAAGCAUAUUGUGGCCAGUAUGUCCUUUUGGGGGGAAAUAUAUAUUUUAAAGUAUCUUUCUAGGCUGAGAAAAGCAAGCAUUGCCGAUGGAAUGGUCAGAGUUCUGUGCACAUUCCAGGGGGUACACAGAGCUCUUAUGCAAAGAGGAUUCUAUUCCAGUGAAGGGUGCUUCCGUACAUGCAUGCCUCCACGUCUAUGUCUGGAAGUACUCAUGUACAUGAAGAAUCAUCGCAGGUGAUGGUGGUGUUUUUCCUAAUCCUACUUGGGGAGAUACAAUACCUGUGACCCUUGGCACAGAGGUUUCAUUGAGCAACGGCCUUUCGCUAUAUAUACCUAAGUUCAUCAACAACCAGAAAGCAGUAGAUGAGUGCCACCUCUGAAUGGCAACCAGGAGGGGAAGGAGCCCUGUAGCUUUUGCAUGGUGUGUCUGGCGGAGGCAGCUGAGCCAUGUGGAGGAGCUCCACAUGGUUAGAAGUGCCCUGUAAGUGCCAUUGAUGACAUUGGCUCAUAGCUGUGCCUGGCACUGCUGGCCAUUCACCAGCAGCCACCUGCAUGGUGCUGUGCAAGCUACCCCUUCCCUCAACUGCCUUCAGUAGAUACCCAGAGCAUGACACCCCCGCUCGUCUUGGUCACUGGCUGCAAUUUUCACAGCUCACCACUGCCUAAAUCAAGGGUAGGAAUUGGCCCUAGCCAGCAUGGCCAACAACAUCUGUUGGAGCCACUGGUUCCCACCUGGCCUAAAUAGAUAAAUUUUGAAUAUGGGUAAUCUCAGCCAAUCAGAUGCUCAGCACAAGCAACAGGGAUGAGCAACACCUGUUAAGCCCUGCUUGUAACUUCUAGAGACAUCUAGCUGGUCUCCUGCUGGAGACAGAGCAAUAGACUCCAUGGGUUUUAGUCUGAGCCACUAAAGCAAUUGCCCUAUUCUUAGGCAGCAUGGACAGGCAGUUUUUGUCAUUGAGGAAAGCUUAUUUUGAAAAUAAAGCUUCCUUUAGAUCAGGGAUGAGGAACCUACAGCCUCCCAGCUGCUGUUGGAGUCCUUUCAGUCCUGGCCAUCAUGCCCAGUGGUCAGAGAUGAUGGGAUCUGUUGUACAGCAGUAUUUGAAAGGGUCAUAGAUUCCCACCCUUGCUGCAGAUAAUGCCAUUUUCAAUUGUUCACAUCCCCUUGGGAAUAGCCUGGCAGCUUAUCUUCACACUGUUUCACUACUGACAUACCCACUCUCAUGAAAUGAGUAGCUCUGUGGUUUAACAGUUCUAUGUAUUUAUUAACUUUAAAUGUUGUGUAUAUCUGUACCAGAGACCAUUUGUAUUAUGUGCAUAUUAGAUUCUCAGCAGUCUUGAUGUAUAUUUGUAUAUUACCUCCUCAAUGCCGUGCAAUCACUUAUGGAUUUCUUUUUCUUGCACUGAUUAAAAUGCCUCUUGUAUGAUAAAUAAAUCCUUUCUUGUGGUGAUAUAGGGUUGAAUGUAUGUAAAUAAAAUUAAAAACAUUUAAAAUGUCAGCUAUACAAGCAGUGGCCUAAAAAAUAAUAAUAAUCAAGUCUGUACUUGUAGAAUAGAACAAUUAAGUUGCUGUGACAUCUCAAAAUGUUCCAGGGAUGCAAUGUCGGAGAAGGGAAAGUCUUUCCUUGUGAUAAUAUGAAAUUGCAAAAUUGGAUUUCUGUAGCUUUUUAUUUUUAUUGUUUCCGAGUGGAGAGCCUAUCUCUUUUAAUGUCUGUAAAUCUACCAUUAUUACUUUUCACUUUGAAGUAUAUUGUAUUGUUAGAUGUUUGUUUGAGCUGGUAACAUCCUUGCAACUGCUGCAAUGUUUCUGUUGGCAACUUGUAUAUUACUUUGUACACAAGUGUACUGGUAAGACUGUCAUUAAAAGUAGCUUCUACCAUUAAACUACCUAUAGCGGAAUAGUACUUCUGUAAUAAUACCAAUGUAUUACUACCAUACCAUAUUUUAUUUCUUCAGUGUAAUUAAACUGUUAUUUAUUCAAAGUAAAAUUAUGAUUAUUUGAAUCUG
Non-coding RNA from Podarcis lilfordi (Lilford's wall lizard), 5159 nucleotides. The record is from the annotation of a GenBank genome assembly. NCBI's taxonomy places the organism in Eukaryota, Metazoa, Chordata, Lepidosauria, Squamata, Lacertidae.